This 253-nucleotide ribosomal RNA is filed under the name uncultured bacterium. RNAcentral describes it as "partial 16S ribosomal RNA". It matches the Rfam family "Bacterial small subunit ribosomal RNA", at positions 524 to 776 of the family's 1533-position model. The record is from RNAcentral.
UACGUAGGGGGCAAGCGUUGUCCGGAAUCAUUGGGCGUAAAGAGCGUGUAGGCGGCCAGAUAAGUCCGCUGUGAAAUCUCGAGGCUCAACUUCGAGCUGUCGGUGGAAACUGUCUGGCUAGAGUCCGGAAGAGGAGAAUGGAAUUCCUGGUGUAGCGGUGAAAUGCGCAGAUAUCCGGAGGAACACCGGUGGCGAAGGCGGCUUCCUGGACCGAUACUGACGCUGAGGCGCGAAAGCUAGGGGAGCAAACGGG